Molecule: non-coding RNA, 79 nt
Organism: Pelobates cultripes (western spadefoot toad)
Lineage: Eukaryota; Metazoa; Chordata; Amphibia; Anura; Pelobatidae
Source: the annotation of a GenBank genome assembly
AACAAGGGAAAAGAACUCUCUAGAAGAGUGGGAAUACCAGGAGCUGGUAUUCCCACUCUUCUAGAGAGUUCUUUUCCAU